RNAcentral lists this transfer RNA (72 nucleotides) under Camelus ferus (Wild Bactrian camel). It matches the Rfam family "tRNA". From Rfam's summary of the family: Transfer RNA (tRNA) molecules are approximately 80 nucleotides in length. Lineage: Eukaryota; Metazoa; Chordata; Mammalia; Artiodactyla; Camelidae. The record is from Rfam by way of RNAcentral.
GAGGGCAUGGCUCAGUGGUAGAGCAUGCGCUUAGCAUGCGUGAGAUCCUGGGUUCAGUCCCCAGUACCUCCA